This 28-nucleotide non-coding RNA is filed under the name Mus musculus (house mouse). The record is from RNAcentral. Lineage: Eukaryota; Metazoa; Chordata; Mammalia; Rodentia; Muridae.
UGGGCUGGAAAUAUCAAGGAAGAAUGCU